This 483-nucleotide ribosomal RNA is filed under the name uncultured bacterium. Its description in RNAcentral is "partial 16S ribosomal RNA". It matches the Rfam family "Bacterial small subunit ribosomal RNA", at positions 28 to 523 of the family's 1533-position model. The record is from RNAcentral.
GAUGAACGCUGGCGGCGUGCCUAAUACAUGCAAGUCGAGCGAACCACUUCGGUGGUGAGCGGCGAACGGGUGAGUAACACGUAGGUGAUCUGCCCAUCAGACGGGGACAACGAUUGGAAACGAUCGCUAAUACCGGAUAGGACGAAAGUUUAAAGGUGCUUCUGGCACCGCUGAUGGAUGAGCCUGCGGCGCAUUAGCUAGUUGGUAGGGUAAAGGCCUACCAAGGCGACGAUGCGUAGCCGACCUGAGAGGGUGAACGGCCACACUGGGACUGAGACACGGCCCAGACUCCUACGGGAGGCAGCAGUAGGGAAUCUUAGGCAAUGGGCGAAAGCCUGACCGAGCAACGCCGCGUGAAUGAUGAAGGCCUUCGGGUUGUAAAAUUCUGUUAUAAGGGAAGAACGACUUUAGUAGGAAAUGGCUAGAGUGUGACGGUACCUUAUGAGAGAGCCACGGCUAACUACGUGCCAGCCGCCGCGGUAA